AGCAGCGUGGCCUACUUUGAUAAAGCAUGGGUCUAGGAUCCCAAGGACCUGGGUUCUAUUCCUGGCUCUGCUA
RNAcentral lists this transfer RNA (73 nucleotides) under Ornithorhynchus anatinus (platypus). It matches the Rfam family "tRNA". From Rfam's summary of the family: Transfer RNA (tRNA) molecules are approximately 80 nucleotides in length. Their secondary structure includes four short double-helical elements and three loops (D, anti-codon, and T loops). Further hydrogen bonds mediate the characteristic L-shaped molecular structure. tRNAs have two regions of fundamental functional importance: the anti-codon, which is responsible for specific mRNA codon recognition, and the 3' end, to which the tRNAs corresponding amino acid is attached (by aminoacyl-tRNA synthetases). tRNAs cope with the degeneracy of the genetic code in two manners: having more than one tRNA (with a specific anti-codon) for a particular amino acid; and 'wobble' base-pairing, i.e. permitting non-standard base-pairing at the 3rd anti-codon position. The record is from Rfam by way of RNAcentral. Lineage: Eukaryota; Metazoa; Chordata; Mammalia; Monotremata; Ornithorhynchidae.